CAAGGAUACAGACAAGAUCUUGGGAGAUGUCCACUAAGUGGGCAGGGCUAGAGAGUUUACAAGGGCUCUGGAAGCUUCACUAUGCAUAACGAACUGUGAAUUUCCUCAGAGUUGCUUCACACAUUCCAAUAUACUGGGGCCUACAAAGGCUCAAACAUGAUGACAACAGGUUUCUUCACACUGUUUGUUUACAGUGUCUCACCUUUAUUUUCAGAAAAGCAAUAUCAAAGAGAUGCCUGAUCUCCAAAUUGAAUUUGUUAUAAAAGGAAAAUGCUAGAAGCAACUCCUUAUGAACAGAAAUGGAUGCUAAGAGUCAGAAGAGAAACUGUUUCUGGGUCUGACCUGAGUGUUACUGUGAGGAAGCUGCUGCUGCUCAGAUGUCUGCGUCGGUUAUUACUGCCAUCAGCGUGUCAGCUAUUGUACAG
Myodes glareolus (Bank vole) is the source of this 425-nucleotide long non-coding RNA. RefSeq lists it as uncharacterized. The record is from RefSeq and is a predicted model, not a curated record. NCBI's taxonomy places the organism in Eukaryota, Metazoa, Chordata, Mammalia, Rodentia, Cricetidae.